AAAUCUCAUCGGCGUGAGUCCAGGUCCGCCAAGAACAAUCUUUUCUAGACAGCUGCAGAACUGUAGGAUAUUGAAAGGCUGAGGACAGCAGCAGCAGUUAGAGGGCUGUGCCCAACGAAACUCCAGUCUACUCUUGCUUACUGCUCCAUCUCACCACUUCACACAUCCCGAGGACAGCAUCCUGGAGAGACAGCUCAUGGCAACAGGCACGAACUUUAGCCUCCUAUGAUCUGAUCAUGUGAGCAUGAACAGAGAAAAGGUAAACAGCAGCAAUGCCAACUGCCAGCUAAGGCACCAGUGAGGACAGGAGGACCAGGUGAUUGAGACAAGCAACAGGCAACAGCUACUCACCAACCUGCUGUGACCUUGUGGAGGUAGCACUUGGAGCCUUCCAAGAGCAACAUACCUGACCAUCUUUUUCUUCUGUCUCUUUCUCCACAGACAGCAUUUGGCGCUAGGCAAUCAGCAGAAGAGCCAACCUGCUCUGCAGAAAGACCCUCAGCAAGAGGACACAACAAAUACCAACAACAUGUCGCGGAACGACCAGCGUUACUCUGAGUCGAACUGCUCAGGGGAAAUCUACUACUACUUGUCCAGGAACGUUCCCCAUCCUCGGAUGGUCUGUCACAUGCAAGGAUUAAACAACGCCCCGGUCUGUCUUGUAAGAAGCAUCCUUUCAGGGCAAUACCCGGCCGCUGCCGACACAGUCACCCCCCAGCAAGAAGCUGAUCAAGAACAACAUGUGGGAACAGCAACUGGGAAUGGCAGGCGCAACGCAUCUGCCACCCACCACCUUCCAAGCCUCGAGGCUUUCCUGCAAAGGGAGCCAGGCACUUCACAGCCCACGACACGUGAGUAGGGGCACCAAACCGCCGUGUGAGACAGCAGCAGAGGAGGAACCUGCGCCGCUAAGGGUGCAGCUGGGUCUCAGCCAGGGCACUGUGUCAUUGCAGCUCAGGUCCAGGUAAAGGGAACGUAGAGCAAUGAACAUACAUUCAAAAGAUAAGUAUUUCUUCCCUUCUAUGCGUGUUAGCCACCACAUCUUACAAGAUUUCUCCUCGCUAAUUACCCUGGCAUCUUUAAAGCUUUUAGAGAUUAUAUGCUCACGAGACAUCUAAGAAUUCCCCAAUUAUCAGCAUUAUUCCAUCUGUAAGCAACAUCCUGCAGUAGUGGUUACACAGCACUAUAAGCACUAUCAUGCUUAUAGUGCACAUCUAUGAAAUGCACUUCCUAGGAUUUUCUUCCGAUUUCUUAGGCAUCUUGACAAAUAAUUGCAUUAAUGUACUAUGUGAAGUAGUAGAAGCAAACAGAAAAGGAAAGCAAUACAUCCCCUUAGAGAGAGCUAAAACAUGGCUCAGACAUUUUUGUAAUUAAGAAUGCCCCCCCCCUCCAGUAUAACCUAAGAUGUAUCUUACGGCCUUUCUGUUUCAACUUGAGAAAACGCUCUGUCUGUUAAUUUCCAGAAGGACACGCAGAUGUUCCUGAAAGGAUUCAAAGCAAGCCUACUCCGCCUGAAAAGGUAAGGGAAAAAAAGACACAGCUCUUUAUUUUCGCACACUCUCUCUUGCUUCUUAACACUGGAACCUGAACUGACAGUCUCAGACUACUCAGGAAGACAGCGCAGAACCCAGAAGAGGGAGGUGAGGAUCUCCUGUGUAGAACAUGAGAGCUUGGAAGGGAGAUGGUGUCAAGCAGGCUGAUAACUAAGCUCUAACUGUGUAUCACUUUCAGUUCUGUAACGUCACUGUGCUUUGCUAGCAAGAAAAACGGUCAAACUCAACGAAGAUGGGAAUGCAAUUCACUUUGUUUCAAAACGCUGGGGAAAAACACCAGACAACAAACAAGCACAGGAAAGAGCC
Molecule: long non-coding RNA, 1859 nt
Filed under: Calidris pygmaea (Spoon-billed sandpiper)
Lineage: Eukaryota; Metazoa; Chordata; Aves; Charadriiformes; Scolopacidae
Description: lncRNA (ENSCPGG00000004462.1)
Source: RNAcentral